RNAcentral lists this ribosomal RNA (520 nucleotides) under uncultured Glomus. RNAcentral's name for it is "SSU rRNA". It matches the Rfam family "Eukaryotic small subunit ribosomal RNA", at positions 569 to 1092 of the family's 1831-position model. The record is from RNAcentral. Lineage: Eukaryota; Fungi; Glomeromycota; Glomeromycetes; Glomerales; Glomeraceae.
AGCAGCCGCGGUAAUUCCAGCUCCAAUAGCGUAUAUUAAAGUUGUUGCAGUUAAAAAGCUCGUAGUUGAAUUUCGGGAUCAAUACGUCGGUCGUGCUUCGGUACGUACUGGCGUCAUUGGUUUCUCCCUUCUGACGAACCAUGAUGUCAUUAACUUGGUGUCAUGGGAAAUCAGGACUGUUACUUUGAAAAAAUUAGAGUGUUUAAAGCAGGCUCACGCUUGAAUACAUUAGCAUGGAAUAAUGAAAUAGGACGUUCGAUCCUAUUUUGUUGGUUUCUAGGAUCAACGUAAUGAUUAAUAGGGAUAGUUGGGGGCAUUAGUAUUCAAUUGUCAGAGGUGAAAUUCUUGGAUUUAUUGAAGACUAACUACUGCGAAAGCAUUUGCCAAGGAUGUUUUCAUUAAUCAAGAACGAAAGUUAGGGGAUCGAAGACGAUCAGAUACCGUCGUAGUCUUAACCAUAAACUAUGCCGACUAGGGAUCGGAUGAUGUUAAUUUUUAAUGACUCAUUCGGCGCCUUAAC